RNAcentral lists this small nuclear RNA (138 nucleotides) under Myotis brandtii (Brandt's bat). Its description in RNAcentral is "U1 spliceosomal RNA". It matches the Rfam family "U1 spliceosomal RNA", at positions 1 to 139 of the family's 166-position model. Rfam says of the family: U1 is a small nuclear RNA (snRNA) component of the spliceosome (involved in pre-mRNA splicing). Its 5' end forms complementary base pairs with the 5' splice junction, thus defining the 5' donor site of an intron. The record is from Rfam by way of RNAcentral. Lineage: Eukaryota; Metazoa; Chordata; Mammalia; Chiroptera; Vespertilionidae.
AUACUUACCUGGCAGGGGAGAUACCAUGAUCACGAAGGUGGUUUUCCCAGGGCGAGGCUUAUCCAUUGCACUCCGGAUGUGCUGACCCCUGCGAUUUCCCCAAAUGUGGGAAACUCGACUGCAUAAUUUGUGGAAAAA